AAAAGAAUAAAGUUUUGUCCAUCUUUGUUCAUCAUAGCUGAAAGUUAGAGAAGAGAAAGGAGAGGAGAAAGCUCUUGAGUGUUCGGUCACUUGGGGAAGAAAAUUGAAGGUAAGUUCAUGGUAGUUGGCUUCUAUCUUGAUGUUCAUGAGUUCUUCUUGAUUCUACCUUAACUCUUGAAGCAUAUUUUGGUUUUUAGUUGUGUUGUGAGCAUUUAGUCAUGAAUUAAAAUGAAGGCAAAGGUUGUUGUUUCAUGUUCUUUUGAUGAAAAAAAUGGAAGAUAGGUGAAGUUGAGCCAAACAAAUGAGCAUACAUGUGCCUUAGAUGUUAAAGGGAAAAAUCAGCUAACAUGUUGUGCUUUAAAAUGAUGAAAUGGAGAUUAUUCUUAAGUAAAAUCAUAGAUAUGUGAUGAUUGAUUGGUGAUAUACAUGUUUAAAUAACAUGCAUGCAAGGUAUGUGUGAAAGAGUGAUUUGGUAAUAAAUCUGCUUAGGACAGCAGCAGUAACGUGACUUUGGAAAAUCACCAUAAACUGUGGGAGAUGAAUUAGAAGCUGAAUAAAUUAUGUAAUUAAAGCUUAUUGAGUCUAGUUUCUAAUGAAAUAAACAAGAAAAUAUUUUGAAUUCUGUACAAUGAGAAAUUUGAUUCGUAAUGAAGAGUUGUCAGAUUAGUCAAACAGUGAAACAUGGGAAACUUUGAGAAAAAUCUGGUAUUGAUUGGCUAAACUAAAAAUUCUGAAAAUUUUAUGGAUAGAAGAUAUAUGAGUCUAUUUUCAGGUAAAAUUAACAGAACUUGAUUUGGAGUUUCGUAGCUCCAGUUAUAAAUAAUUUAGUGACUAUUGCUCAGGAAGACAGUUUGCAGUGAAAUUAUGAUUAUGUGGUAAACAUUGACAAAAUUUUGUCAAUGAGUUGCUUAUUGUUUUCUUAUAAGCUUACUAUGAUCUGUAGGUGUGGUUGGUCGAAUAUUGUAAGGGGUUAAUACGUAGUUCGUAUUUGAAUAGUUAGAUUAAUGUGUUAGUAAUCCAAUUGUAGGUAGUUCGUCUGUGGAUCUCGUCAACAUAUCGUCGCAAACAGGUGUGUAACAACACCCUCUUUCUUAGUCUAGAUCGGCAAAAGCCGAAAAGCCGAAAUGCCGAAAACCGGUAUUUUGUAGAUUUGCGAGUGUGCGAAUGCUCGUGAGGUAAAUCGAUUAAUGUUUUUGGUAAGCUGCAUUGUUUGGACUGCAAAGUGCAUGAUUUCUGUGCCCUCGAUAUUUUUGGGCUUAAUGGGCCAAAAUUGGAAUGAUGGGCCAACAGGCCCAAUUCGGUAAGAACCCUCGGUACGUGAUUCUGUAGUACAUGAAAGGUAGGAAUAUGCAUGAAAAACCCUAAAAUAGAUAAAUUACUGAAAUACCUUUAAAAGUGAAAAAUUUACAGUUUUACCCCUAGGAGAUAAAUUAUCGAAAUACCCCUAGGGUUAAAUUGACUUAAAUGCAUGUUUGACUGUUGUUAUUUACUGCAUGCCAUGUUGUUAUUAUCUGAUACAUGGGACUGGGAUAUUGACGGAGGAAGUACUGAAAGUGGCUUGUCCACGUACUGGAGGCUUUGCCUCAAUUUACUGUUAACUGAGCAGCAAGGCUGCAACUGUGGAGUGUUGGGCUGGGUGGGUUGAGCUAUUCCCCACAUGGAGUGUAUGGCUGGUACGGGUGGAGUGUAGUGGUUGGUGGGUUGAGUAGUCUCCCCAAAUGGGCUUGCAUAUGUUUACUGAUGUUGCAUGUAUUUUGAAAUGGGCCUAUGGGCCAUACUGUUAUCUGAAUAAGGGGCUAAGGCCCAGUUUAUUGUAAUCUGAAAAGGGCUCUGGCCCAGUACCACUGUUACCUGAAUGGGCUUAGGCCCAAUGGGCUUGAGCUGACUUGGGCUUUGAAUGGGUUUUCCUUACACACUGAGUUUCCCCAAACUCACCCCUUUUAUUUUCAUCCACGCAGGAAAUCCCCAACCAUAAUGGGCUUGGAGCUGUGAGGGAAUUCGGAGUGGCCAUCCGUUCUGAAAGUUUGAUUUUCUUCUGGUGAACUGGACAUCCUUUUAAUUACGUUUGAGGUUUUGGGCUUUUAAAUGUAAUAAGGCCGCUUAUUUAUUUUUGUUGGUUUUUAAUAUGUAUUACUAAGAUAGGUAAUACUUAUUUUAACUGUUGAAAUUGGAUAGCUUUAGGGCGCGUUUUCAAAAACAACAGUUGAUUUCAAAAUAACACGACAACAAGCAAA
Molecule: long non-coding RNA, 2234 nt
Filed under: Gossypium barbadense (sea-island cotton)
Lineage: Eukaryota; Viridiplantae; Streptophyta; Magnoliopsida; Malvales; Malvaceae
Description: long non-coding RNA (GBAR_LNC007903)
Source: RNAcentral